Molecule: ribosomal RNA, 468 nt
Filed under: uncultured bacterium
Lineage: Bacteria
Description: partial 16S ribosomal RNA
Rfam family: Bacterial small subunit ribosomal RNA
Source: RNAcentral
GACGAACGCUGGCGGCGUGCUUAACACAUGCAAGUCGAACGGAAAGGCGCUGCUUUUGUUGCGUGCUCGAGUGGCGAACGGGUGAGUAACACGUGAGUAUCCUCCCCUUGUCUGUGGGAUAACUUCUGGAGACUCGGGCUAAUACAGGGUAGAAGAUCCUGCUGCAUAUGGUUGAUUGGAAAGUUUCGGCGGUGGGGGAUGGUCUCGAGGCUUAUCAGCUUCUUGGUGUGGUAGUGGCUUACCAAGGGUUUGACGGGUAGCCGGCCUGAGAGGGUGAACGGCGACAUUGGGACUGAGAGACGGCGCAGACGGCUACGGGAGGCAGCAGUGGGGAAUAUUGCACAAUGGGCGGAAGCCUGAUGCAGCAACGUUGCGUGCGGGAUGAUGGCCUUCGGGUGGUAAACCGCUGUCGCCUGUGACGAAGAGGGAGUGACGGUAACGGGUAAAGAAGCACCGGCUAACUACGUG